ACGGAAGGCAGCAGUGGGGAAUAUUGGGCAAUGGGCGCAAGCCUGACCCAGCGACGCCGCGUGAGGGAAGAAGGUCUUCGGAUUGUAAACCUCUUUCAGCAGGGAAGACCAAGAGACGGUACCUGCAGAAGAAGUCACGGCUAACUACGUGCCAGCAGCCGCGGUAAUACGUAGGUGGCGAGCGUUAUCCGGAAUUACUGGGUGUAAAGGGUGUGUAGGCGGGGAGGCAAGUCAGGCGUGAAAAUCAUGGGCUCAACCCAUGACUUGCGCUUGAAACUGUUUUUCUUGAGUGUGUGAGAGGUAAGUGGAAUUCCCAGUGUAGCGGUGAAAUGCGUAGAUAUUGGGAGGAACACCAGUGGCGAAGGCGGCUUACUGGACCACAACUGACGCUGAGACACGAAAGCGUGGGGAGCAAACAGGAUUAGAUACCCUGGUA
Molecule: ribosomal RNA, 436 nt
Filed under: uncultured Oscillospiraceae bacterium
Lineage: Bacteria; Bacillati; Bacillota; Clostridia; Eubacteriales; Oscillospiraceae
Description: partial 16S ribosomal RNA
Rfam family: Bacterial small subunit ribosomal RNA
Source: RNAcentral